This 2614-nucleotide ribosomal RNA is filed under the name Listeria monocytogenes. RNAcentral describes it as "partial 23S ribosomal RNA". It matches the Rfam family "Bacterial large subunit ribosomal RNA", at positions 311 to 2925 of the family's 2925-position model. Lineage: Bacteria; Bacillati; Bacillota; Bacilli; Caryophanales; Listeriaceae. The record is from RNAcentral.
GAGUUACAAAAGAACAUGUUAGACGAAUCAUCUGGAAAGAUGAAUCAAAGAAGGUAAUAAUCCUGUAGUCGAAAACAUAUUCUCUCUUGAGUGGAUCCUGAGUACGACGGAGCACGUGAAAUUCCGUCGGAAUCUGGGAGGACCAUCUCCUAAGGCUAAAUACUCUCUAGUGACCGAUAGUGAACCAGUACCGUGAGGGAAAGGUGAAAAGUACCCCGGAAGGGGAGUGAAAGAGAACUUGAAACCGUGUGCUUACAAGUAGUCAGAGCCCGUUAAUGGGUGAUGGCGUGCCUUUUGUAGAAUGAACCGGCGAGUUACGAUCUGAUGCAAGGUUAAGCAGCAAAUGUGGAGCCGCAGCGAAAGCGAGUCUGAAUAGGGCGUUGAGUAUUUGGUCGUAGACCCGAAACCAGGUGAUCUACCCUUGGUCAGGUUGAAGUUCAGGUAACACUGAAUGGAGGACCGAACCGACUUACGUUGAAAAGUGAGCGGAUGAACUGAGGGUAGCGGAGAAAUUCCAAUCGAACUUGGAGAUAGCUGGUUCUCUCCGAAAUAGCUUUAGGGCUAGCCUCAAGUGAUGAUUAUUGGAGGUAGAGCACUGUUUGGACGAGGGGCCCCUCUCGGGUUACCGAAUUCAGACAAACUCCGAAUGCCAAUUAAUUUAACUUGGGAGUCAGAACAUGGGUGAUAAGGUCCGUGUUCGAAAGGGAAACAGCCCAGACCACCAGCUAAGGUCCCAAAAUAUAUGUUAAGUGGAAAAGGAUGUGGCGUUGCCCAGACAACUAGGAUGUUGGCUUAGAAGCAGCCAUCAUUUAAAGAGUGCGUAAUAGCUCACUAGUCGAGUGACACUGCGCCGAAAAUGUACCGGGGCUAAACAUAUUACCGAAGCUGUGGAUUGUCCUUUGGACAAUGGUAGGAGAGCGUUCUAAGGGCGUCGAAGCAUGAUCGCAAGGACAUGUGGAGCGCUUAGAAGUGAGAAUGCCGGUGUGAGUAGCGAAAGACGGGUGAGAAUCCCGUCCACCGAUUGACUAAGGUUUCCAGAGGAAGGCUCGUCCGCUCUGGGUUAGUCGGGUCCUAAGCUGAGGCUGACAGGCGUAGGCGAUGGAUAACAGGUUGAUAUUCCUGUACCACCUAGUAUCGUUUUAAUCGAUGGGGGGACGCAGUAGGAUAGGCGAAGCGUGCUGUUGGAGUGCACGUCCAAGCAGUAAGGCUGAGUGUUAGGCAAAUCCGGCACUCAUAAGGCUGAGCUGUGAUGGGGAGAGGAAAUUGUUUCCUCGAGUCGUUGAUUUCACACUGCCGAGAAAAGCCUCUAGAUAGAUAACAGGUGCCCGUACCGCAAACCGACACAGGUAGUCAAGAUGAGAAUUCUAAGGUGAGCGAGCGAACUCUCGUUAAGGAACUCGGCAAAAUGACCCCGUAACUUCGGGAGAAGGGGUGCUCUUUAGGGUUCACGCCCAGAAGAGCCGCAGUGAAUAGGCCCAAGCGACUGUUUAUCAAAAACACAGGUCUCUGCUAAACCGUAAGGUGAUGUAUAGGGGCUGACGCCUGCCCGGUGCUGGAAGGUUAAGAGGAGUGGUUAGCUUCUGCGAAGCUACGAAUCGAAGCCCCAGUAAACGGCGGCCGUAACUAUAACGGUCCUAAGGUAGCGAAAUUCCUUGUCGGGUAAGUUCCGACCCGCACGAAAGGCGUAACGAUUUGGGCACUGUCUCAACGAGAGACUCGGUGAAAUCAUAGUACCUGUGAAGAUGCAGGUUACCCGCGACAGGACGGAAAGACCCCGUGGAGCUUUACUGUAGCCUGAUAUUGAAAUUCGGCACAGCUUGUACAGGAUAGGUAGGAGCCUUUGAAACGUGAGCGCUAGCUUACGUGGAGGCGUUGGUGGGAUACUACCCUAGCUGUGUUGGCUUUCUAACCCGCACCACUUAUCGUGGUGGGAGACAGUGUCAGGCGGGCAGUUUGACUGGGGCGGUCGCCUCCUAAAAGGUAACGGAGGCGCUCAAAGGUUCCCUCAGAAUGGUUGGAAAUCAUUCAUAGAGUGUAAAGGCAUAAGGGAGCUUGACUGCGAGACCUACAAGUCGAGCAGGGUCGAAAGACGGACUUAGUGAUCCGGUGGUUCCGCAUGGAAGGGCCAUCGCUCAACGGAUAAAAGCUACCCCGGGGAUAACAGGCUUAUCUCCCCCAAGAGUUCACAUCGACGGGGAGGUUUGGCACCUCGAUGUCGGCUCAUCGCAUCCUGGGGCUGUAGUCGGUCCCAAGGGUUGGGCUGUUCGCCCAUUAAAGCGGUACGCGAGCUGGGUUCAGAACGUCGUGAGACAGUUCGGUCCCUAUCCGUCGUGGGCGUAGGAAAUUUGAGAGGAGCUGUCCUUAGUACGAGAGGACCGGGAUGGACAUACCUCUGGUGUACCAGUUGUCGUGCCAACGGCAUAGCUGGGUAGCUAUGUAUGGACGGGAUAAGUGCUGAAAGCAUCUAAGCAUGAAGCCCCCCUCAAGAUGAGAUUUCCCAACUUCGGUUAUAAGAUCCCUCGAAGAUGACGAGGUUAAUAGGUUCGAGGUGGAAGCGUGGUGACACGUGGAGCUGACGAAUACUAAUCGAUCGAAGACUUAAUCAAUUUUUAAA